RNAcentral lists this ribosomal RNA (420 nucleotides) under Brachystomia sitkaensis. RNAcentral describes it as "partial 16S ribosomal RNA". It matches the Rfam family "Bacterial large subunit ribosomal RNA", at positions 1839 to 2597 of the family's 2925-position model. Lineage: Eukaryota; Metazoa; Mollusca; Gastropoda; Pyramidellidae. The record is from RNAcentral.
UAAAAAAUUUUAAGUAAGCCCUGCCCGGUGAAAUAAUUUUAUGUUAAACGGCCGCAGUAUUUUAACUGUGCUAAGGUAGCAAAAUCAAUAGGCCUUUAAUUGGGGUCUGGAAUGAAAGGGUUAGUGUGCAACAGCUAUAUAUUAGACUACUAGAUUGAAUUUAAUAAUAUGGUGAAAAUACCAGUAAUAUUAAAAAAGACGAGAAGACCCUGGGAAUUCUCAUCUUGUGUGUGUUUGUUGGGGCAACGCGGAAAGAAAACCUCCUAGAAUUUAAUAUCAUCUCAAUAUUUUUAUAUUGAAAAAAUUACCCCAGGGAUAACAGCAUAAUAUAUAUAAUAUGUUUAUGACCUCGAUGUUGGACUAAGAAGCCUAUUAAUCAGUAAUUAAUAGUAGUGGCUCUGUUCGAGCGUUAGAAAUCUU